GAUGAAGAACGUAGCGAAAUGCGAUAAGUAAUGUGAAUUGCAGAAUUCAGUGAAUCAUCGAAUCUUUGAACGCACAUUGCGCCCGCCAGUAUUCUGGCGGGCAUGCCUGUCCGAGCAUCAUUUCAACCCUCGAACCCCUCCGGGGGGUCGGCGUUGGGGAUCGGGAACCCCUAAGACGGGAUCCCGGCCCCGAAAUACAGUGGCGGUCUCGCCGCAGCCUCUCCUGCGCAGUAGUUUGCACAACUCGCACCGGGAGCGCGGCGCGUCCACGUCCGUAAAACACCCAACUUCUGAAAUGUUGACCUCGGAUCAGGUAGGAAUACCCGCUGAACUUAAGCAUAUCAAUAAGCGGAGGA
RNAcentral lists this unclassified non-coding RNA (356 nucleotides) under soil metagenome. Its description in RNAcentral is "partial contains 5.8S ribosomal RNA, internal transcribed spacer 2, and large subunit ribosomal RNA". The stretch from base 1 to 120 matches the Rfam family "5.8S ribosomal RNA", at positions 35 to 154 of the family's 154-position model. The record is from RNAcentral.